This 494-nucleotide ribosomal RNA is filed under the name uncultured bacterium. RNAcentral's name for it is "partial 16S ribosomal RNA". It matches the Rfam family "Bacterial small subunit ribosomal RNA", at positions 28 to 504 of the family's 1533-position model. The record is from RNAcentral.
GAUGAACGCUGGCGGCGUGCCUAAUACAUGCAAGUCGAGCGAACGGACGAGAAGCUUGCUUCUCUGAUGUUAGCGGCGGACGGGUGAGUAACACGUGGAUAACCUACCUAUAAGACUGGGAUAACUUCGGGAAACCGUAGCUAAUACCGGAUAAUAUUUUGAACCGCAUGGUUCAAAAGUGAAAGACGGUCUUGCUGUCACUUAUAGAUGGAUCCGCGCUGCAUUAGCUAGUUGGUAAGGUAACGGCUUACCAAGGCAACGAUGCAUAGCCGACCUGGGAGGGUGAUCGGCCACACUGGAACUGAGACACGGUCCGGACUCCUACGGGAGGCAGCAGUAGUGAAUCUUCCGCAAUGGGCGAAAGGCUGACGGAGCAACGCCGCGUGAGUGAUGAAGGUCUUCGGAUCGUAAAACUCUGUUAUUGGGGAAGAACAUAUGUGUAAGUAACUGUGCACAUCUUGACAGUACCUAAUCAGAAAGCCACGACUAACUAC